Molecule: unclassified non-coding RNA, 344 nt
Filed under: soil metagenome
Description: partial contains 5.8S ribosomal RNA, internal transcribed spacer 2, and large subunit ribosomal RNA
Rfam family: 5.8S ribosomal RNA (bases 1-120)
Source: RNAcentral
GAUGAAGAACGCAGCGAAAUGCGAUACGUAAUGUGAAUUGCAGAAUUCAGUGAAUCAUCGAGUCUUUGAACGCACAUUGCGCCCCCUGGUAUUCCGGGGGGCAUGCCUGUCCGAGCGUCAUUGCUGCCCUCAAGCCCGGCUUGUGUGUUGGGUCUCGUCCCCCUUCCCGGGGGGACGGGCCCGAAAGGCAGCGGCGGCACCGCGUCCGGUCCUCGAGCGUAUGGGGCUUUGUCACCCGCUCUGUAGGCCCGGCCGGCGCUUGCCGAUCAACCAAAACUUUUUUCCAGGUUGACCUCGGAUCAGGUAGGGAUACCCGCUGAACUUAAGCAUAUCAAAGCGGAGGA